CUUCGAUUUCCCUCGUCUCUUUCUUAGAAUAUAGGCCGCCAGAUAGGGGCAAAUAGGAUUUUCUUUUAAGAAAUAUAAGAACAAUUUGUAUAAUUUUACCAAUUAGAUAAUUAAAUACCUAGUUAUAACCUCGCUAAGUUUUAAUUUGAUAAUACGUAUGGUUCCUUGGCUUUUAUUUUUAAUCUCCGAUUAUGCGAUUUAAUACAUCUGUCCACUACAGGCGAAUUAAAUCGUUGAGGAUUCGUGCGAAAUUUCAUCCUUCUAUCUGUAUCCUCCGGAUUUUUAUUUUCAUCGCAAAAGAUCAUUUGGACGAUUACGAUAACAAAAAGAAAAAAAUAGUAUUGGAUCUAAACGAUCCGAUCUGCGUAAAGAGUGGAGGAAAAUAUGUUUCUGCAUACGAGUUCCAAUAUUUCCGUUAACUCGAUUUACUUAAAUAACCAAACAGUAUUACGGAAAUUUCAUGCAACGUGAUUGAUGAUAAAAAUAUAGUGUCCUUGAUUAUUUUAUUUCCACGAUCAGACAGGGUGACGGUUUCGUACGGUACUGGUCUAAUUCAGUUACCCUCUUCCGGAUGGACCAUUGUCAGGUAAUAUGCAUAUGCUCUAGAACACGUCACAGGCAUGUACCUGCCGGUUAGGAAAGGAACGUUCAACCCUUUUUUUCAUCGAACGAAGGAGACCUCUUUUUUGUGAAGGCUAAAAGAAAAAAAAAGAAGAGAGCGAGAAUCGACGACCCCGUGACUCGGAUGCGAGGCAGACUUACCCCCGUGGUCCCAUCCUGCUUUUUCAUGGUGAAAAGACGUCCGAUGGGGGGCGAUUCAAUGCUCUUCUAAUUAUAUGCAAAGAC
RNAcentral lists this unclassified non-coding RNA (846 nucleotides) under Bombus terrestris (buff-tailed bumblebee). Its description in RNAcentral is "misc RNA ENSBTSG00005029148.1". The record is from RNAcentral. Lineage: Eukaryota; Metazoa; Arthropoda; Insecta; Hymenoptera; Apidae.